This 444-nucleotide ribosomal RNA is filed under the name uncultured bacterium. RNAcentral's name for it is "partial 16S ribosomal RNA". It matches the Rfam family "Bacterial small subunit ribosomal RNA", at positions 337 to 795 of the family's 1533-position model. The record is from RNAcentral.
GCCUACGGGAGGCAGCAGUGGGGAAUAUUGGGCAAUGGGCGCAAGCCUGACCCAGCAACGCCGCGUGAAGGAAGAAGGCUUUCGGGUUGUAAACUUCUUUUCUGAGGGACGAAGAAAGUGACGGUACCUGAGUAAGAAGCCCCGGCUAACUACGUGCCAGCAGCCGCGGUAAUACGUAGGUGGCAAGCGUUAUCCGGAUUUACUGGGUGUAAAGGGCGUGUAGGCGGGGACGCAAGUCAGAUGUGAAAACCACGGGCUCAACCUGUGGCCUGCAUUUGAAACUGUGUUUCUUGAGUACUGGAGAGGCAGACGGAAUUCCUAGUGUAGCGGUGAAAUGCGUAGAUAUUAGGAGGAACACCAGUGGCGAAGGCGGUCUGCUGGACAGCAACUGACGCUGAGGCGCGAAAGCGUGGGGAGCAAACAGGAUUAGAUACCCUAGUAGUC